AGCGAACGCUGGCGGCAGGCUUAACACAUGCAAGUCGAACGCCCCGCAAGGGGAGUGGCAGACGGGUGAGUAACACGUGGGAACGUACCCUUUGGUUCGGAAUAACUUGGGGAAACUCAAGCUAAUACCGGAUAAGCCCUUAUGGGGAAAGGUUUACUGCCGAAGGAUCGGCCCGCGUCUGAUUAGCUAGUUGGUGAGGUAAUGGGUCACCAAGGCGACGAUCAGUAGCUGGUCUGAGAGGAUGAUCAGCCACACUGGGACUGAGACACGGCCCAGACGCCUACGGGAGGCAGCAGUGGGGAAUAUUGGACAAUGGGGGCAACCCUGAUCCAGCCAUGCCGCGUGAGUGAUGAAGGCCUUAGGGUUGUAAAGCUCUUUUGCCCGGGACGAUAAUGACUGUACCGGGAGAAUAAGCCCCGGCUAACUUCGUGCCAGCAGCCGCCGUAA
RNAcentral lists this ribosomal RNA (447 nucleotides) under uncultured bacterium. RNAcentral's name for it is "partial 16S ribosomal RNA". It matches the Rfam family "Bacterial small subunit ribosomal RNA", at positions 29 to 523 of the family's 1533-position model. The record is from RNAcentral.